Molecule: long non-coding RNA, 677 nt
Organism: Cryptomeria japonica (Japanese cedar)
Lineage: Eukaryota; Viridiplantae; Streptophyta; Pinopsida; Cupressales; Cupressaceae
Exons: 2
Source: RefSeq, a predicted model, not a curated record
UAAAUUUUUAAACGUCUCAAUUUCCAAUUAACAAUCCCACACUUCUGCAUCACCUACUAAGAGGAAGCAUUAAAAACUCUAAUUCCCCACAACAAACAACUUACCAACGGUAUAUUUCCAGCACAAUAAUUCCUCUGGUACAAGCGAAGCAGAUAAAAAACAAUAAUGGCGGGCCCGUGGGAGCGUGGAGGAAGGAGGAGAUAGAUGGAAGAAAAAACUUCUGCAAUUAGAUCUGAUAUGAUACAGAAAUGGUCCUACCUAGGGCUUGACAAGGCACAAAAGAAGUAAGUUUUUUAAUGCUUUCUUUUCGUUUGGCGUAGCGUGCAACACUGGGCGAUCAGAGUUGGUGGUGGGAUGCGUGAGAAGCAAGUGCACGGGAAACUCCAUGCUUUCACACUUUAAAUACCAUGUGGUCUGCUAUUUGGAAGUCAGAUGUUCAAAACCUGCUGAAACAGGGAAGGUAUUUUCAGGUUUUAGGGGUUUUUGCAGAUAGAUAUCAUAGAUUGAAAGAGUUUUUUUAUCUAUAAUUAGAUGAGUUUGAUUUUGUUAGUAAUUUCUUCAAAAUCAUCGUAAUACUUGAAUAUUUCAAGUUGGAUUGUUUGACUUAUUAACAACUGAUAUUGAUAUCUCUAAAGAUGAUAAAGUAAGAACAAUUUAUGAUGGUUUUUAUAUUUCAA